GAUGAACGCUGGCGGCGUGCCUAAUACAUGCAAGUCGAGCGAACGGACGAGAAGCUUGCUUCUCUGAUGUUAGCGGCGGACGGGUGAGUAACACGUGGAUAACCUACCUAUAAGACUGGGAUAACUUCGGGAAACCGGAGCUAAUACCGGAUAAUAUUUUGAACCGCAUGGUUCAAAAGUGAAAGACGGCCUUGCUGUCACUUCUAGAUGGAUCCGCGCUGCAUUAGCUAGUUGGUAAGGUAACGGCUUACCAAGGCAACGAUGCAUAGCCGACCUGAGAGGGGGAUCGGCCACACUGGAACUGAGACACGGUCAAGACUCCUAAGGGAGGCAGCAGUAGGGAAUCUUCCGCAAUGGGCGAAAGCAUGACGGAGCAACGCCGCGUGAGUGAUGAAGGUCUUCGGAUCGUAAAACUCUGUUAUUAGGGAAGAACAUAUGUGUAAGGAACUGUGCACAUCGUGACGGUACCUAAUCAGAAAGCCACGGCUAACUACGUG
Molecule: ribosomal RNA, 497 nt
Filed under: uncultured bacterium
Lineage: Bacteria
Description: partial 16S ribosomal RNA
Rfam family: Bacterial small subunit ribosomal RNA
Source: RNAcentral